CAAUAGCGUAUAUUAAAGUUGUUGCGGUUAAAAAGCUCGUAGUUGGAUUUCUGCCGAGGACGACCGGUCCGCCCCCUGGGUGAGUAUCUGGCUCGGCCUGGGCAUCUUCUUGGAGAACGUAGCUGCACUUGACUGUGUGGUGCGGUAUCCAGGACUUUUACUUUGAGGAAAUUAGAGUGUUUCAAGCAGGCUUACGCCUUGAAUACAUUAGCAUGGAAUAAUAAGAUAGGACCUCGGUUCUAUUUUGUUGGUUUCUAGAGUUGAGGUAAUGAUUAAUAGGGAUAGUUGGGGGCAUUCGUAUUUAACUGUCAGAGGUGAAAUUCUUGGAUUUGUUAAAGACGGACUACCGCGAAAGCAUUUGCCAAGGAUGUUUUCAUUGA
RNAcentral lists this ribosomal RNA (380 nucleotides) under uncultured eukaryote. RNAcentral describes it as "partial 18S ribosomal RNA". It matches the Rfam family "Eukaryotic small subunit ribosomal RNA", at positions 592 to 976 of the family's 1831-position model. The record is from RNAcentral.